GAAAUGCGAUAAGUAAUGUGAAUUGAAGAAUUAAGUGAAUCAUCGAAUCUUUGAACGCACCUUGCGCUCCUUGGUAUUCCGAGGAGCAUGCCUGUUUGAGUGUCAUGGAAUUCUCAACUCUAUUUGCUUUUGUGAAUAGAGCUUGGAUUUGGAGGUUUAUUGCUGGUACUUGUGAUCGGCUCCUCUUGAAUGCAUUAGCGCGAACCUUUGCGGAUCAGCUAUCGGUGUGAUAAUUGUCUACGCCGUUGCAGUGAAGCAUAUCAAUGGGCUCGGCUUCCAAUCGUCCUUUACUGGACAAUGACUUUGACCUUUGACCUCAAAUCAGGUAGGAUUACCCGCUGAACUUACGC
RNAcentral lists this unclassified non-coding RNA (350 nucleotides) under plant metagenome. RNAcentral's name for it is "partial contains 5.8S ribosomal RNA, internal transcribed spacer 2, and large subunit ribosomal RNA". The stretch from base 1 to 105 matches the Rfam family "5.8S ribosomal RNA", at positions 50 to 154 of the family's 154-position model. The record is from RNAcentral.